CAGCAGCCGCCGCGGUAAUACGUAGGUGGCAAGCGUUGUCCGGAAUUAUUGGGCGUAAAGGGCUCGCGGGCGGUUUCUUAAGUCUGAUGUGAAAGCCCCCGGCUCAACCGGGGAGGGUCAUUGGAAACUGGGAAACUUGAGUGCAGAAGAGGAGAGUGGAAUUCCACGUGUAGCGGUGAAAUGCGUAGAGAUGUGGAGGAACACCAGUGGCGAAGGCGACCCUCUGGUCUGUAACUGACGCUGAGGAGCGAAAGCGUGGGGAGCGAACAGGAUUAGAUACCCCGGUAGUCCCUGUCUCUUAUAC
Molecule: ribosomal RNA, 304 nt
Filed under: uncultured bacterium
Lineage: Bacteria
Description: partial 16S ribosomal RNA
Rfam family: Bacterial small subunit ribosomal RNA
Source: RNAcentral